Molecule: ribosomal RNA, 253 nt
Filed under: uncultured bacterium
Lineage: Bacteria
Description: partial 16S ribosomal RNA
Rfam family: Bacterial small subunit ribosomal RNA
Source: RNAcentral
GACGAACCGAGCGAACGUUGUUCGGAAUCACUGGGCUUAAAGGGCGCGUAGGCGGGCAUUCAAGUCUGUGGUGAAAUCCGGCAGCUUAACUGUCGAAUUGCCAUGGAUACUGGGUGUCUCGAGGGAGGCAGGGGUGCGCGGAACUAAUGGUGGAGCGGUGAAAUGCGUUGAUAUCAUUAGGAACUCCGGUGGCGAAGGCGGCGCACUGGUCCUUUUCUGACGCUGAGGCGCGAAAGCCAGGGGAGCAAACGGG